UCGGGAAUUUUGCGCAAUGGACGAAAGUCUGACGCAGCAACGCCGCGUGAGGGAUGAAGGCCUUCGGGUUGUAAACCUCUUUUAUCAGGGAAGAUAAUGACGGUACCUGAUGAAUAAGUCACGGCUAACUACGUGCCAGCAGCCGCGGUAAUACGUAGGUGACAAGCGUUGUCCGGAUUUACUGGGCGUAAAGAGCGCGCAGGCGGUCGUUCAAGUCGAGUGUGAAAGCCCCCGGCUCAACUGGGGAGGGUCAUUCGAUACUGAUCGACUCGAAGGCAGGAGAGGGUAGUGGAAUUCCCGGUGUAGUGGUGAAAUGUGUAGAUAUCGGGAGGAACACCAGUGGCGAAGGCGACUACCUGGCCUGUUCUUGACGCUGAGGCGCGAAAGCUAGGGGAGCAAACGGGAUUAGAUACCCCGGUAGUCCUAGCCGUAAACGAUGGACACUAGGUGUUGGUGGUAUCAACCCGCCAGUGCCGAAGCUAACGCAUUAAGU
This 493-nucleotide ribosomal RNA is filed under the name uncultured Acidobacteriota bacterium. RNAcentral's name for it is "bacterial SSU rRNA". It matches the Rfam family "Bacterial small subunit ribosomal RNA", at positions 355 to 865 of the family's 1533-position model. The record is from RNAcentral. Lineage: Bacteria; Pseudomonadati; Acidobacteriota.